UUCAUCUCUGAUUUUCAUGCACUUACCGGUGCUGGAUUAUCUUUAGCUUCCACACCAAAAACAUUCCGUCGUUUCACUGUCAGCAAAUCAAGAUCUUUAUUAUCAUCGUCGUCAUCGUCGUCAUCAUC
Tyto alba (common barn owl) is the source of this 128-nucleotide long non-coding RNA. RefSeq lists it as uncharacterized. The record is from RefSeq and is a predicted model, not a curated record. The transcript has 3 exons. Lineage: Eukaryota; Metazoa; Chordata; Aves; Strigiformes; Tytonidae.